CUUGAAUCCGUAGAACAAACGUGAAGUGAAUCCAGCACGGCAAAGAUACCGAACAGUUAUGAAUUUCUCCACUCAAGUUUAUUUUGUCAUUGCACUUUUCGUGGUGCUCCAGUUUCAUUCAAGCCACUGCGAACACAUAGCUGAAGAUGUAGGGG
Exaiptasia diaphana is the source of this 155-nucleotide long non-coding RNA. RefSeq lists it as uncharacterized. The record is from RefSeq and is a predicted model, not a curated record. Lineage: Eukaryota; Metazoa; Cnidaria; Anthozoa; Actiniaria; Aiptasiidae. The transcript has 2 exons.